RNAcentral lists this ribosomal RNA (487 nucleotides) under uncultured bacterium. RNAcentral describes it as "bacterial SSU rRNA". It matches the Rfam family "Bacterial small subunit ribosomal RNA", at positions 28 to 507 of the family's 1533-position model. The record is from RNAcentral.
GAUGAACGCUAGCGACAGGCUUAACACAUGCAAGUCGAGGGGCAGCGAGGGCGUAGCAAUACGCCUGUCGGCGACCGGCGCACUGGUGAGUAACACGUAUGCGACCUGCCCCCUACAGGGGUAUAACCCGUAGAAAUGCGGACUAAUCCCCCAUAGUCCCGCGGGCUGCAUGGCCUGCGGGGGAAAGGGUUUCCGGUAGGGGAUGGGCAUGCGUCUGAUUAGGUUGUUGGCGGGGUAACGGCCCACCAAGCCUACGAUCAGUAGGGGUUCUGAGAGGAAGGUCCCCCACAUUGGAACUGAGACACGGUCCAAACUCCUACGGGAGGCAGCAGUGAGGAAUAUUGGUCAAUGGACGGAAGUCUGAACCAGCCAAGUAGCGUGCAGGACGACGGCCCUAUGGGUUGUAAACUGCUUUUAUGUGGGAAUAAAGUGAGGGACGUGUCCCUUUUUGUAGGUACCACAUGAAUAAGGACCGGCUAAUUCCGUG